GUUCUUGUAGUUAAAUGUUUAUAACGGCGGUUUUUCAGGUCGUAGGUCCUAGAGAGAAGCUAGGCAAGAACA
Molecule: transfer RNA, 72 nt
Filed under: Spermestes griseicapilla (Grey-headed silverbill)
Lineage: Eukaryota; Metazoa; Chordata; Aves; Passeriformes; Estrildidae
Description: Lonchura griseicapilla (Grey-headed silverbill) tRNA-Glu
Source: RNAcentral